CAAAGUUGAUCGUGUUUAUGACGUCGAAUAUCGACGUCAUAAACAUCUAAGUUUAUCGUGUUUAUGACGUCGAAUAUCGACGUCAUAAACACCAAAG
Paramuricea clavata is the source of this 97-nucleotide non-coding RNA. The record is from the annotation of a GenBank genome assembly. NCBI's taxonomy places the organism in Eukaryota, Metazoa, Cnidaria, Anthozoa, Malacalcyonacea, Plexauridae.